UGGGCUGAUCAGAUUUUUGACACGCUCUCCACCCGGAAACGACACGUCAGCCCAAAGUCUGUCGUACGACGUCGCAUCGGGAGCUUAUAAAUCGAGUAAGAGUAACUUCACCAACUCGAGCGAGUGGAGAUGCCUAGCCACUUUGCCAGCUUAAAAGGCCAAAACACUGAUGGCAUCGGAAACGUGGCAGCAUCGUGUGCUGCCGACAGAUAUCAGUGUACGUGCUUUUUCGACCGUUUGCCUACGGUCCAAAUCGGGACCCACUUUCGGAUAAGAG
This 277-nucleotide long non-coding RNA is filed under the name Prunus dulcis (almond). RNAcentral's name for it is "sRNA ncRNA". Lineage: Eukaryota; Viridiplantae; Streptophyta; Magnoliopsida; Rosales; Rosaceae. The record is from RNAcentral.